Molecule: transfer RNA, 69 nt
Filed under: Marmota monax (woodchuck)
Lineage: Eukaryota; Metazoa; Chordata; Mammalia; Rodentia; Sciuridae
Description: tRNA.Asp
Source: RNAcentral
GGGCAUAGCUUAGAGGUAGAGCACUUGCCUAUCAUUUGCAAGGCCCUGAGUUCAAUUUCCAGUAGCACA